This is a non-coding RNA of Didymosphaeria variabile, 88 nucleotides long. Lineage: Eukaryota; Fungi; Ascomycota; Dothideomycetes; Pleosporales; Didymosphaeriaceae. The record is from the annotation of a RefSeq genome assembly.
ACCGCCUUCGUCCAGAGGUUAGGAUGUCUGAUUUUCAACACAUAGUGAGAAUACUCAGAAGACCAGGGUUCGAUCCCCUGAGGCGGUG